UCUAGCAAUAGAUGAGACCGGCGCACGGGUGCGUAACGCGUAUGCAAUCUACCUUUUACAGAGGGAUAGCCCAGAGAAAUUUGGAUUAAUACCUCAUAGUAUAACGACUCGGCAUCGAGAUGUUAUUAAAGUUCCAACGGUAAAAGAUGAGCAUGCGUCCCAUUAGCUAGUUGGUGUGGUAACGGCACACCAAGGCAACGAUGGGUAGGGGUCCUGAGAGGGAGAUCCCCCACACUGGUACUGAGACACGGACCAGACUCCUACGGGAGGCAGCAGUGAGGAAUAUUGGUCAAUGGGCGCAAGCCUGAACCAGCCAUGCCGCGUGCAGGAUGACGGUCCUAUGGAUUGUAAACUGCUUUUGUACAGGAAGAAACACUCCCUCGUGAGGGAGCUUGACGGUACUGUAAGAAUAAGGAUCGGCUAACUCCGUGCCAGCAGCCGCGGUAAUACGGAGGAUCCAAGCGUUAUCCGGAAUCAUUGGGUUUAAAGGGUCCGUAAGCGGGUUUAUAAGUCAGUGGUGAAAGCCCAUCGCUCAACGAUGGAACGGCCAUUGAUACUGGAGAUCUUGAAUUAUUAGGA
Molecule: ribosomal RNA, 579 nt
Filed under: uncultured bacterium
Lineage: Bacteria
Description: bacterial SSU rRNA
Rfam family: Bacterial small subunit ribosomal RNA
Source: RNAcentral